CGAGAACUUUGACAACAUGUUGAGUGUUUCAUUUCCAACCACUCAAUAUCUUAUUCUCUGAAACCCCAUUGUUUUGUUUUCUUUCUCUUCUUCUCCUUCUUCUUAUGCAUCUUUGCCAGAUUAAUCUAGGGUUAGGGUUAGGGUUUUUGAGACAGUGAUCACUGAUCCUUGUGGAGUUCACAGGAUUCACUGGAAAUUUCACCACUAUUGCAUGCACAGGGCAAGAACAAGUUCACUUACAACUGUGAUGGUCACACCUUCAAUUACCUUGUAGAGGAUGAAUUCACAAAAUUAAACUGAAGGAACAGAUGCAAUACUGCAUGGAUAAUCCUGAGGAGAUAAGCAAGAAUUCAAAAGUGAAAAGCUGAGAUUUUACUAAUAGAAAAGGCCUUGAUGAAAAACAGUUUUUUCAUGCAGUGGGGAGACACAGGCCUUUUACUGUCAGACUGAACAUUUCCGGCAGCAAGCAAUACAGAUCAGAAGGAAGAUGUGGUUCAAGAACAUGAAAAGAAAGCUGAUUAUGUUUGGUAUUAUCAUUGCUCUUAGCUUCAUUUAUACAAUUUUUUCCAUCAUAUUUUAGUAUGUAUGUUGAGGUUGCUCGAACGCCACUGUAUAUAUAUAUAUAUAUAUGGUUAAAGCACUUGCCAGCCUCGCCAUUGUGGGUUUAGUAUAAUAC
Long non-coding RNA from Dioscorea cayenensis subsp. rotundata (Guinea yam), 676 nucleotides. RefSeq lists it as uncharacterized. The transcript has 4 exons. Lineage: Eukaryota; Viridiplantae; Streptophyta; Magnoliopsida; Dioscoreales; Dioscoreaceae. The record is from RefSeq and is a predicted model, not a curated record.